This is a long non-coding RNA of Apteryx rowi (Okarito brown kiwi), 1652 nucleotides long. NCBI's taxonomy places the organism in Eukaryota, Metazoa, Chordata, Aves, Apterygiformes, Apterygidae. The record is from Ensembl.
CAGGAACACUAGCGCGUAUGGACAGGGGAAGAGGACUGGAGACAAAUGGAGAAAAAGAUGACCAUGUUGCCUGUUCAUACAAGGUGCCCCAUGACCUGCGCUCCUGCUCUCCGCCGAUCAGUCCAAUCCACGCCUAAAGGGCUCCAAAACAGCAGCCUGCAAGACCCAGCAAUGCUCUGCCUCCUCUCACACCUCCUGUAUGGCUCCCUGUCCCAGGACGACUGUACUUCUGCCUGUACCGAACCCUCUGCACUGACUGUUKAUGAGCCCCCUCAGCCUGCUUCUACACUCGCCAGUCUCCAGGGAAUAGGCUCUCCCUCGGCGCUGCCCCGUUUAAUGGUGACAGACUAGCAGUCUGUCAAGAUGCCACUUUCUACCAUAGUCCCCAGCACAGGAAGUGGAAGAUAAUUGAAGCUGCUUUAGUGCCACCAUUCCACUCUUCUCUUUUUCCCAUGCAAUGCUGUCAUCAUCCACCACCUCUUGUCUGCAAUGUCCCAUGGCACCCAGGCUAAGCAAUUUAUUAUGAGGCAAAAUCUUUCUCAGMUAUGCUAUCUCCAAGUUUUGGUGCCAGGAAGCCCCUGGAGAAAUCUUACUGUGGUUUAAAAAAAUUAAACAAACAUAAAACCCCARACAAACCCCYAGCCAUCYUCUUAUGCCAGCAAAAAGAGCAAGAACAACCGCAGGGCCCUGGAGAGCACUGUURGCUGGGCUUGCAGUUCAUGCCAGCRGCAACGAGAUGAACCCAAYGCCUMGAGAAUCUCCCGGCUGUUUGGGUGCCUCCAAACGGGAUGUCAGAAACAGAAGAGCGUGGUGGCCCGCGUUGCUGAGGUCAGCCACUGUGCUUUGCCAGUCAUUUGAUAACGAGUGGAGCAUCCUCAAUUAUAUUACCGUGUGAGUGAAUCUACCGUUACGUGCCCAGCGCUGAGAAGCUUUUUCCUAAACAUGAACUGCAUUCUCCAAAUUUCUACCCUUUGGGGUUUUUAAUUGGAUUUAUGUUUCUCCUCUUCUUUCUCCCAAAAGGCUCAUAGCUGGAAGAUGUAUUUAGAGUGUGAACAUAACAGGACCUGAAACAGAACCUCAGAUAAUUAAAUGUAAUGGGCUCUCUCAUUAAUGGAGGGGAGCUGCUGGUUUCCGUCAGUUAGUACGGGAGAACACUGUGUGCAGUAUUUGACACACUGAGGAAUGCACAGCGCUGUUUGUGUUUAUUGCUCCCAGGUGCUCUGCAACUGAACCAGGACUGUGUAACCAGCUUUACUGAACAGAUGUUAUGGUUUUGUUGCUCUUUGGAGGUGCUUUUUAGUGGUGCUAGAACCAAAGUCCCUGUGUAUCUACCAUAGCCCAAAAUCUGUGGGCAGGUUGGAUUUUAAUACAUCAGUGCAAGCCAGUCGCAGGGACUAAGAGAAAUACUUGAUCCAUUAGACCGUGCCUUCUUUUGUUUCACUUUCUCUUYCUGUGUCCUUCCUCCUUCCUUCCUAUGGUGCAAGAAUCAGAAACUUUUAUGAGCAUACCCCUUCUUUUCUUCUUUUCUUUUCUUUUUCUUUUUUUUUUUUUUUAAGGUGUGUUACAGUUCCAAAGGGAUUCAAAGCAGCAGGAAUGCUCCUGGAACUUAAUAGGAAAAUAAAAAGAUACUAGAAAAAAACUGUGAUUUAGCA